RNAcentral lists this transfer RNA (75 nucleotides) under Periphykon beckeri. RNAcentral's name for it is "tRNA-Trp". It matches the Rfam family "tRNA". Rfam says of the family: Transfer RNA (tRNA) molecules are approximately 80 nucleotides in length. Their secondary structure includes four short double-helical elements and three loops (D, anti-codon, and T loops). The record is from RNAcentral. Lineage: Eukaryota; Rhodophyta; Florideophyceae; Ceramiales; Rhodomelaceae.
UAAGAGAAUAGCUUAAAUUGGUAAAGCUUUAGUUUUCAAAACUAAGUUUGUAGGUUCGAAUCCUUCUUCUCUUGA